This 72-nucleotide transfer RNA is filed under the name Camelus bactrianus (Bactrian camel). It matches the Rfam family "tRNA". From Rfam's summary of the family: Transfer RNA (tRNA) molecules are approximately 80 nucleotides in length. Their secondary structure includes four short double-helical elements and three loops (D, anti-codon, and T loops). Further hydrogen bonds mediate the characteristic L-shaped molecular structure. tRNAs have two regions of fundamental functional importance: the anti-codon, which is responsible for specific mRNA codon recognition, and the 3' end, to which the tRNAs corresponding amino acid is attached (by aminoacyl-tRNA synthetases). tRNAs cope with the degeneracy of the genetic code in two manners: having more than one tRNA (with a specific anti-codon) for a particular amino acid; and 'wobble' base-pairing, i.e. permitting non-standard base-pairing at the 3rd anti-codon position. The record is from Rfam by way of RNAcentral. RNAcentral also lists the same sequence under 2 other names. Lineage: Eukaryota; Metazoa; Chordata; Mammalia; Artiodactyla; Camelidae.
AGAGGGAGAGCUCAGUGGUAGAGUGCACACUUAGCACUCAUGGGGUCCUGGGUUCAAUCCCCAGUGUCUCCA